AGGUACUACAUGAUAUUGCCUCAGGAGCAGGCUGAUGUGUCUGUGGAUUACAUCACUCUUGAAAGAAGCACAUCCUCCUUUCUGGGCUUGAUUUCACUCUAAUAGUGACUGUUGGCAGAAGACUGUUGAAAGGGGAGCCAAUAUGGAGUCACAUUUUUUCCCACUCUUCAGCUUCUGCUGAAAAAAAUUUGUAUUGAAUUGUGGCUUAACUUGGAAGCAAUAGGAAAUAUUUCUCUGAGUACAAAAAUAAAGGUUGGAAAACUGGCUGAUGGAGAAAGAUGUGAAAGUCAGAUAGAAAAAUCUGACAAGCAAGGGUAAGUGAAACAAAAGUGUGUAGUACAAAGUCUAAUUAGGAACUAAUAUGAUUUUUCUUUUAUAAGCUGGGAAGUUAUAAUUGAAAGUGUCAGAGGAAGAGAGACAUCUGGCUUUAUUAGUCUCAGGGUGACUAAAGCCAUAAAUGUGACAUGGCAAUGAAAAAAGACAAGUGUAAAGACAUAUCAGGAUGUAUUACAGCAUUUUUAGAAGUGGAAAGAAAAUAUUAAAGGCAAUGUAUAUAGUACUGGUGGGAUUUCAUCUGAAAUUCUGUUUGUAGUUUUGGUCACUUGUGAUCAAAACAUGAAUUCUAAGAGUAAGAAGUUUGAGAUGGGUAGCUAAAGCUGAGGAAAUAGAAACUGUCUUAUACAGGUAUUAUUAAAAAUUCUCAUUAUUUGUUUCAGAAUAAAGAAAGGCACUGACAGAGUGAGAAUGUCUGAUUAAGUUGUAGAACAAUGUUAGCCAAAGAACAAAUGUGUAUACACUGGCAACGAUGGUUUAUUUGGUAGAAAUGAAAGACAGUAACUAUCUGGGAGUGAGAUUCUAGAUUAGAAGUAAAUUUGCUGGCUUGGUUCUUUGUCCUAGUCUAUGAAACAACUUGAUCUUUUUGUCACAUGGAAUAUAUAAAAUACAUAAUUCUAAAAGAUGGAAAUUAGACAGAAAUCAAAAGGUUCUUUCUUUCUAAAUUAAAGAUUUUUAAUCUUUCCCCCACCCUGUACUAGAAAUGCUAGAGGGUAGAGAUAAAGAGGGAGGAACUGCGAAUAUGCCUCCUUCAUAGGGAAAAGAAAUUAGAAAUAAUCUCCUAAUUAUUAUCCCUAGACACAAAGGACAGAUUUUCUGAGUGAAAGUUGUAUAUUGCAGUAAUUCCACCCUUAAGCCUUCAAAGCACAAAAAGUCAGGCUGUACGAGGAUAUCUAUAAUGAGAAAUGUAGGACUGCAAACAAAUAAAAAGAUUCAGUUUGUUCAGUUGUUUAUAGCAUCUAU
Long non-coding RNA from Empidonax traillii (willow flycatcher), 1296 nucleotides. RefSeq lists it as uncharacterized. The transcript is spliced from 3 exons. The record is from RefSeq and is a predicted model, not a curated record. Lineage: Eukaryota; Metazoa; Chordata; Aves; Passeriformes; Tyrannidae.